Molecule: ribosomal RNA, 2093 nt
Filed under: Salmonella enterica subsp. enterica serovar Panama
Lineage: Bacteria; Pseudomonadati; Pseudomonadota; Gammaproteobacteria; Enterobacterales; Enterobacteriaceae
Description: partial 23S ribosomal RNA
Source: RNAcentral
GUGACUGCGUACCUUUUGUAUAAUGGGUCAGCGACUUAUAUUCUGUAGCAAGGUUAACCGUAUAGGGGAGCCGGAGGGAAACCGAGUCUUAACCGGGCGUUAAGUUGCAGGGUAUAGACCCGAAACCCGGUGAUCUAGCCAUGGGCAGGUUGAAGGUUGGGUAACACUAACUGGAGGACCGAACCGACUAAUGUUGAAAAAUUAGCGGAUGACCUGUGGCUGGGGGUGAAAGGCCAAUCAAACCGGGAGAUAGCUGGUUCUCCCCGAAAGCUAUUUAGGUAGCGCCUCGUGAAUUCAUCUCCGGGGGUAGAGCACUGUUUCGGCUAGGGGGCCAUCCCGGCUUACCAACCCGAUGCAAACUGCGAAUACCGGAGAAUGUUAUCACGGGAGACACACGGCGGGUGCUAACGUCCGUCGUGAAGAGGGAAACAACCCAGACCGCCAGCUAAGGUCCCAAAGUCAUGGUUAAGUGGGAAACGAUGUGGGAAGGCCCAGACAGCCAGGAUGUUGGCUUAGAAGCAGCCAUCAUUUAAAGAAAGCGUAAUAGCUCACUGGUCGAGUCGGCCUGCGCGGAAGAUGUAACGGGGCUAAACCAUGCACCGAAGCUGCGGCAGCGAGUUAAUCGGGGCAGGGUGAGUCGACCCCUAAGGCGAGGCCGAAAGGCGUAGUCGAUGGGAAACGGGUUAAUAUUCCCGUACUUGGUGUUACUGCGAAGGGGGGACGGAGAAGGCUAUGUUGGCCGGGCGACGGUUGUCCCGGUUUAAGCGUGUAGGUGUGUGUUCCAGGUAAAUCCGGUUCACUUUAACACUGAGGCGUGACGACGAGGCACUACGGUGCUGAAGCAACAAAUGCCCUGCUUCCAGGAAAAGCCUCUAAGCAUCAGGUAACAUCAAAUCGUACCCCAAACCGACACAGGUGGUCAGGUAGAGAAUACCAAGGCGCUUGAGAGAACUCGGGUGAAGGAACUAGGCAAAAUGGUGCCGUAACUUCGGGAGAAGGCACGCUGACAYGUAGGUGAAGUGAUUUACUCAUGGAGCUGAAGUCAGUCGAAGAUACCAGCUGGCUGCAACUGUUUAUUAAAAACACAGCACUGUGCAAACACGAAAGUGGACGUAUACGGUGUGACGCCUGCCCGGUGCCGGAAGGUUAAUUGAUGGGGUCAGCGCAAGCGAAGCUCCUGAUCGAAGCCCCGGUAAACGGCGGCCGUAACUAUAACGGUCCUAAGGUAGCGAAAUUCCUUGUCGGGUAAGUUCCGACCUGCACGAAUGGCGUAAUGAUGGCCAGGCUGUCUCCACCCGAGACUCAGUGAAAUUGAACUCGCUGUGAAGAUGCAGUGUACCCGCGGCAAGACGGAAAGACCCCGUGAACCUUUACUAUAGCUUGACACUGAACAUUGAGCCUUGAUGUGUAGGAUAGGUGGGAGGCUUUGAAGUGUGGACGCCAGUCUGCAUGGAGCCGRCCUUGAAAUACCACCCUUUAAUGUUUGAUGUUCUAACGUGGACCCGUGAUCCGGGUUGCGGACAGUGUCUGGUGGGUAGUUUGACUGGGGCGGUCUCCUCCUAAAGAGUAACGGAGGAGCACGAAGGUUGGCUAAUCCUGGUCGGACAUCAGGAGGUUAGUGCAAUGGCAUAAGCCAGCUUGACUGCGAGCGUGACGGCGCGAGCAGGUGCGAAAGCAGGUCAUAGUGAUCCGGUGGUUCUGAAUGGAAGGGCCAUCGCUCAACGGAUAAAAGGUACUCCGGGGAUAACAGGCUGAUACCGCCCAAGAGUUCAUAUCGACGGCGGUGUUUGGCACCUCGAUGUCGGCUCAUCACAUCCUGGGGCUGAAGUAGGUCCCAAGGGUAUGGCUGUUCGCCAUUUAAAGUGGUACGCGAGCUGGGUUUAGAACGUCGUGAGACAGUUCGGUCCCUAUCUGCCGUGGGCGCUGGAGAACUGAGGGGGGCUGCUCCUAGUACGAGAGGACCGGAGUGGACGCAUCACUGGUGUUCGGGUUGUCAUGCCAAUGGCACUGCCCGGUAGCUAAAUGCGGAAGAGAUAAGUGCUGAAAGCAUCUAAGCACGAAACUUGCCCCGAGAUGAGUUCUCCCUGAGACUU